UGAGGAAUAUUGGUCAAUGGACGGAAGUCUGAACCAGCCAUGCCGCGUGCAGGAUGACGGCUCUAUGAGUUGUAAACUGCUUUUGUAUUAGGGUAAACCACCCCUACGUGUAGGGGCUUGAAAGUAUAAUACGAAUAAGGAUCGGCUAACUCCGUGCC
RNAcentral lists this ribosomal RNA (158 nucleotides) under uncultured bacterium. Its description in RNAcentral is "partial 16S ribosomal RNA". It matches the Rfam family "Bacterial small subunit ribosomal RNA", at positions 355 to 509 of the family's 1533-position model. The record is from RNAcentral.